AAUCAACGCUGGCGGCGCGCUUAACACAUGCAAGUCGCACGAGAAAGCAGGAGCAAUCUUGUGAGUACAGUGGCGUACGGGUGAGUAACACGUGGAUCAUCUACCUUUUAGUGGGGAAUACCCCCGGGAAACUGGGGACAAUACCGCAUAAGCUCGUAAGAGGAAAGCGUCGUUCUCAAAAAACGACGCGCUGAAAGAGGAGUCCGCGGCUGAUUAGCUAGAUGGCGGGGUAACGGCCCACCAUGGCAAAGAUCGGUAGCCGGCCUGAGA
This 270-nucleotide ribosomal RNA is filed under the name uncultured bacterium. RNAcentral's name for it is "partial 16S ribosomal RNA". It matches the Rfam family "Bacterial small subunit ribosomal RNA", at positions 32 to 297 of the family's 1533-position model. The record is from RNAcentral.